RNAcentral lists this non-coding RNA (89 nucleotides) under Escherichia coli. The record is from RNAcentral. Lineage: Bacteria; Pseudomonadati; Pseudomonadota; Gammaproteobacteria; Enterobacterales; Enterobacteriaceae. RNAcentral also lists the same sequence under 2 other names.
AAUUAUGGUGGGUCGUACAGGGGCGGAGAAAUCCGCGCCGGUUCGUCAUUGUGUCCGGUAAGGCUAACCCUGUACGGCUCACCACCAUU